AAGCCAUCAAGGAAAAGUGUGGUGAGGAGACAGGCGAGUGGAGACUGUGGCCAUGCAGACUAAGGGUCCUGAAAAGUCAGAGGAGAAAGUGUUCAGAGGGAAGAUGAGGUGUGUGGUCAGUGGAAGCUGGAAAUACAAGGAGGGAGUGUGACGCGUGGCAGGCUCCAUAAAUGUUUGCAAGAAACAGAUUGUAAUAGACACCAAAUUGUGUUAAAUGGAUACAUAGAAAUAGAUGAUGAUAUUAAAUAGAUAACAGAAAUGAGCAGAUGAAAGUAAGUUAGCCGUGCACAGCUGGAUGGCCGUGUGGAUGGAUGGAUGACGGAUGGAUGGAUGUGGGCAAAUGGAUGAGCAAGCAGAGAGACAGAUAUUCUUAGUCUAGGAUCAUUGGAUGUAGGGUCCAAAGUUCAAGUUUGGAUUUGGGCCCUUCUGCUUACUGACUCCUACUAGCUAUGCGACUAUGAGAGUUCAGUGUUGAAAAACAAAAGAAGAGAUAAUCAGUGCAGGCUGCCACCUUCCCCAGGAAGUUUAUAAGCAUUGCCUAAGAUAGAUGAGAAGGAGCACUGCAUAAAGCGGCACAUAAGUGCCAGAGGAUGUUGGGUAUAAGCAAAAUAUAAAGGGCUUCUCAGCCCUAAAUUCACAUACAGGACAAUGCAAGAGAUUCAGAACUGGUACAUAUAAGGGACUGGUGGUGGAAUGGGUGUAGAAGCUGGAAUGUAUAUUACACAGUGGUAGGUCCUACUCCAUAAGUAACCAUUGAGCAAACUAAGGGCCCGAUGUUUGGGGACUGCUGAGUCAGUGUCUGGCUGUACUCACUUUGUCUCAGCACAUCGCCCCUCCCUGACACAGCACCUUCUGCGGUGAUGCUCGACUCUGCUUCCCUCUUCAGAAUCACCUUGAUUACUCAGCCUCGGGGGAAGAAUCCAGAGCCCACCAAUAUGAAAAUCACCUGGAUGCCCACUGACAAGUGCAGAUUCUGGGGUCCCACUUCCAUCCUCUACAUCAGAGUCCAAGGAUGUAUGCCAGCUGAAGAUACUGGCUUGGUGCCUUGCACACAGUAGGUCCUCAGACCCCUGCCACUGCCUCCUGCCCAGAGGCAAGGAAACGGUCCAAGUGACCUCUCCAUGGCCCUCGGCUCUGAGAUGGCAGACUUCUCAGCAGCAGCUUUGGGACACAAGCCUCUCCAAUUGCCUGUGGAUUUUGAACUAAGCCCUCCGGCUUCCACCAGGCUGCUGCGGGGAUCCUGGAAAAACCCAGGGAUGAGGGAGGCCUAAUGAAGAUAAGAGGUUCUUGCUUCUCCUCCCAGCUGACUGCUGCCCAGGUGGGGGCCACUUUAAUGCCUAUGCUGAAGUCCCAGGGGUGGAGCCACAGCGGCCUUGCAGGAGAUGAGGAGCUGCUAAUUACCCACAGGAAUCCUGAGUUGUUUACAGCAGUUGUUCAGGGCCCUUGCUGCUCCCUGGAAUCACCUGUGGAGCUUUACGCACUCUUGUUAUGUGGGCCCACCCCCAGAGAUUCUGAAUGUUUGCAAGCCUGGGCAUCAGACUGCUAAUUCUCAUACGUGAUGCCAAUGUGGAGCCAAGGCUGGAAGCAAUGCCUAAAGGACCCCUCACCCGGGACUUGCUGUGUUUCCCAGCCGAGUGUUAAGCAUUGAAUCCCCACUUUCCAGAUGGAAUAAAUAAGACUUAGAAACC
RNAcentral lists this long non-coding RNA (1688 nucleotides) under Sus scrofa (pig). RNAcentral describes it as "lncRNA (ENSSSCG00000059062.1)". The record is from RNAcentral. Lineage: Eukaryota; Metazoa; Chordata; Mammalia; Artiodactyla; Suidae.